RNAcentral lists this long non-coding RNA (733 nucleotides) under Brachypodium distachyon (stiff brome). RNAcentral's name for it is "long non-coding RNA (BDIS_LNC000075)". Lineage: Eukaryota; Viridiplantae; Streptophyta; Magnoliopsida; Poales; Poaceae. The record is from RNAcentral.
GCCCAAAACAAAAUAGCCCUAAAACCCUACAACAAAGUCUUCCUUGUUCUGUAAAAACUGUACUGCCUGAAUAGUGUCAGGCUGUUUGUCAAACUGGGCAGGUAUGUACUGUACCAGUGCUAACUUUUUUUUUUUUGGCGAGAACAGUGCUAACUGAUGCUAACAAAGCGAAGAUCCAUCUUGCCGAGGAGUAGGCCACUUGAGCCGACGGAAGCUCAGAGGCAACCGCUCAGCUAUUUUAAUUGACCCCGAGGUGACCAGAGCGUUGGAAUCUUCCGAGCACGCAUUUCCGGACCCAUCUCGAAAGCGUUCUCCGAGUCUGACUUGUUUACCGGGUCGAUCUGCGAGCUCGAAGUGGAUACUCACCUCACGGAUUCUCGGAGCCGUCUCUCCCUGCCAGGAGCACGAGGGCGAAGACCAUGUCGGCCUUGAUUUGUUCACGCAUGUGGCAAACGCUUUUAGUAAUUUGCAGCCCUUUGCAUCACCACUUUGACCCACUGUAACUUACGGGGUAGCACCACUAGCGACCUGAACAAACAGACCAUGAAAUAUGUACGCAACCAAAGUAGCAGGGGUUAGAAAGUUAAACUUGUGAAGACAAGAACAAUCUGGGCAUUGCUUUUACCCAAAAGGCAGGCCGCGUAGGAGCUAGCUACUACUAGUGGCUUUUAGAAUGCUCUUUUGAUAUAAUCGAACCGUCCAAUCAGUGUGAGGGCUCCAACUUCGUCGGCUC